GUGGGGAAUCUUCCGCAAUGGACGAAAGUCUGACGGAGCAACGCCGCGUGAGUGAAGAAGGUCUUCGGAUCGUAAAGCUCUGUUGUACGGGACGAAUGUUGGAGGCGUGAAUAAUGCCAUCAAAUGACGGUACUGUACGAGGAAGCCACGGCUAACUACGUGCCAGCAGCCGCGGUAAUACGUAGGUGGCGAGCGUUGUCCGGAAUUAUUGGGCGUAAAGGGAGCGCAGGUGGGAAGGUAAGUCUGUUUUAAAAGCGUCGGGCUCAACCCGAUGAGGGAACAGAAACUAUUUUUCUUGAGUGCAGGAGAGGAAAGCGGAAUUCCUAGUGUAGCGGUGAAAUGCGGAGAUAUUAGGAGGAACACCAGUGGCGAAGGCGGCUUUCUGGACUGUAACUGACACUGAGGCUCGAAAGCCAGGGGAGCGAACGGGAUUAGAUACCCCUGUAGUCC
This 450-nucleotide ribosomal RNA is filed under the name uncultured bacterium. RNAcentral's name for it is "partial 16S ribosomal RNA". It matches the Rfam family "Bacterial small subunit ribosomal RNA", at positions 354 to 796 of the family's 1533-position model. The record is from RNAcentral.